Molecule: small nuclear RNA, 131 nt
Organism: Solanum dulcamara
Lineage: Eukaryota; Viridiplantae; Streptophyta; Magnoliopsida; Solanales; Solanaceae
Source: RefSeq, a predicted model, not a curated record
GCUUGAUUAGAAGGGAGUGAUAGUUGACAUCUUUCCCGAGAGGGAUGGAAACAAUCUUUGGACUUUACCUUUUCACAGAUUAUUUGUAUCAUAGACAAUAUAUCCACAUAAUAUGAUCGAAAUAUGUUUUU